RNAcentral lists this ribosomal RNA (510 nucleotides) under uncultured bacterium. Its description in RNAcentral is "bacterial SSU rRNA". It matches the Rfam family "Bacterial small subunit ribosomal RNA", at positions 17 to 518 of the family's 1533-position model. The record is from RNAcentral.
UCAUGGCUCAGGAUGAACGCUAGCUACAGGCUUAACACAUGCAAGUCGAGGGGCAGCAUAUCGAAAGCUUGCUUUGAUGAUGGCGACCGGCGCACGGGUGAGUAACGCGUAUCCAACCUUCCCUAUACUAGAGGAUAGCCCGGCGAAAGUCGGAUUAAUACUCUAUGUUCUUCGUAGAAGACAUCUGAAAUGAAGCAAAGGUUUACCGGUAUAGGAUGGGGAUGCGUCUGAUUAGGUUGUUGGCGGGGUAACGGCCCACCAAGCCCACGAUCAGUAGGGUUCUGAGAGGAAGGUCCCCCACAUUGGAACUGAGACACGGUCCAAACUCCUACGGGAGGCAGCAGUGAGGAAUAUUGGUCAAUGGACGAGAGUCUGAACCAGCCAAGUAGCGUGCAGGAUGACGGCCCUAUGGGUUGUAAACUGCUUUUAUACAGGGAUAAAGUGACGUACGUGUACGUUUUUGUAGGUACUGUAUGAAUAAGGACCGGCUAAUUCCGUGCCAGCCGCAGC